This 293-nucleotide signal recognition particle RNA is filed under the name Rhinopithecus bieti (black snub-nosed monkey). RNAcentral describes it as "Metazoan signal recognition particle RNA (ENSRBIG00000006676.1)". It matches the Rfam family "Metazoan signal recognition particle RNA". From Rfam's summary of the family: The signal recognition particle (SRP) is a universally conserved ribonucleoprotein. The record is from RNAcentral. Lineage: Eukaryota; Metazoa; Chordata; Mammalia; Primates; Cercopithecidae.
GCUAGGUUUGGUGGCACACGCCUACAGCCCCAGCUACUUGGGAGGCUGAAGCAGGAGGAUCCCUAGAGCCCAGGAAUUCUGGGCUGUGGUGCACUAUGCCGGUUGGGUGUAAGUUUGGCAUCAAUAUGGUGAUCUCCCUGAAGCGGGAAACCACAAACUUGCCUAAGGAGGGGUGAACCCAGCCCAGAUUGGAAAUGGAGCAGGCCAAAACUCCCAGGCUGAUCAGUAAUGGGAUCUUGCCUAUGAAUAGCCAGUGCACUGCAGCCUGGGCAACACAGUGAGAACCUGUCUUA